CCGUUUGGGAGGUGUCCGGUUCUGGUACGGGUGUCCUAUCCGCCGCGUAACGGCGAACGGAACCAGAGCAGCUGCAUUGAACAGAGAGAUAGAGAGGAGAGGCGCACACCGUGACGACAGCCUCUCCAAGCCUGGACGGGGCAGACGGGGGUCCCACUGGUUGCAGAUGUUGGGUGUUAGUAAUCCGAUGUAAUCCACUGAUUAUGAGUGAUUAUGACAUAUUAGCUCAGUCCUACCGGGAUACCACCGUGUCACCGGUUAUCCAAAGUACACCAAGAGAAGCCACCAGCCCGCCUCCUGCCCGCCUUUCUCAAUUUACUGAUGUCCUGUAUGUUGAGUGACUUCACUGCUCCAUGAUUACAGCAGAAAAGGGAGACCCCGAGAGAGAAAGGGAAGUUGUCUGGGAUGGUCGGUUGCUUGGUAACAGUUGUGUGUCCUGACCAGUAGAGGCAAGCUGGGCAAUGUUGAUGAAGCGAGAAAAUGAAACGGGUUCAGCGAUGGACAGGUACUGUACGCAAACAUGGGGAUCAGACACAUAAAAUAUGUAUAGAUGCUAACAGCAUGCAUUGCUGUAGCACAGACAUGAGCCAGCAUGUCAGUGUUGACCUCACCGCACCUCUGUUACAUCACAGCUUUUACAUGCUGUGCUUCAUCUUAAUAAAUGCCACUGUAGGUAGACACCCACAGAGACAUAAGUACUGAAAAGCACACUCUCACCAGUCAAAUCUUCAGGUUACCUAUGUUAGGCUUUAUUUAACUGCUCAGCACACAGUAUAUGGUUCCGUGACCGAAUCGUGACACUUAACCACAUCCCCUCUAUGCUGGUGGAUUUAGCAGUAGUUCAAA
This is a long non-coding RNA of Scatophagus argus, 846 nucleotides long. RefSeq lists it as uncharacterized. NCBI's taxonomy places the organism in Eukaryota, Metazoa, Chordata, Actinopteri, Scatophagidae. The record is from RefSeq and is a predicted model, not a curated record. The transcript is spliced from 3 exons.